GGUGUUUUCUUCAGUUACCAUGUGGAGUUGAGACAAUACAUAGAGGAUUAGUAUGGUCCUAGGCAAGGAUGACAGACAACAUUGUGAAAUGUUUCAUAGUUUU
Small nuclear RNA from Cricetulus griseus (Chinese hamster), 103 nucleotides. The record is from Ensembl. NCBI's taxonomy places the organism in Eukaryota, Metazoa, Chordata, Mammalia, Rodentia, Cricetidae.